This 398-nucleotide ribosomal RNA is filed under the name uncultured bacterium. Its description in RNAcentral is "bacterial SSU rRNA". It matches the Rfam family "Bacterial small subunit ribosomal RNA", at positions 360 to 775 of the family's 1533-position model. The record is from RNAcentral.
AAUAUUGGACAAUGGGCGCAAGCCUGAUCCAGCAAUGCCGCGUGAGUGAUGAAGGCCUUAGGGUUGUAAAGCUCUUUUACCCGGGAUGAUAAUGACAGUACCGGGAGAAUAAGCUCCGGCUAACUCCGUGCCAGCAGCCGCGGUAAUACGGAGGGAGCUAGCGUUGUUCGGAAUUACUGGGCGUAAAGCGCGCGUAGGCGGCUAUUCAAGUCGGGGGUGAAAGCCCGGGGCUCAACCCCGGAACUGCCCUCGAAACUAGGUAGCUAGAAUCUUGGAGAGGUCAGUGGAAUUCCGAGUGUAGAGGUGAAAUUCGUAGAUAUUCGGAAGAACACCAGUGGCGAAGGCGGCUCACUGGCUCGAUACUGACGCUGAGGUGCGAAAGCGUGGGGAGCAAACAG